RNAcentral lists this transfer RNA (74 nucleotides) under Bacteroidota bacterium. Its description in RNAcentral is "Bacteroidetes bacterium (hydrothermal vent metagenome) tRNA-Ala". It matches the Rfam family "tRNA". Rfam says of the family: Transfer RNA (tRNA) molecules are approximately 80 nucleotides in length. Lineage: Bacteria; Pseudomonadati; Bacteroidota. The record is from RNAcentral.
GGGGGAUUAGCUCAGCUGGCUAGAGCGCUACGCUGGCAGCGUAGAGGUCGCCGGUUCGACUCCGGCAUUCUCCA